UUCCGCCGCAGUUCCCCGGCGUAGGCCGGGGCCUAGGGGCGAGCGUUUCACCUAGGCCCCGGCCUACGCCGGGGAACAAUCGCGGCUUUGA
This 91-nucleotide microRNA precursor is filed under the name Sphingomonas prati. Its description in RNAcentral is "microRNA MIR1846". Lineage: Bacteria; Pseudomonadati; Pseudomonadota; Alphaproteobacteria; Sphingomonadales; Sphingomonadaceae. The record is from RNAcentral.